GAUGAACGCUGGCGGCGUGCCUAAUACAUGCAAGUCGAGCGAACAGACGAGGAGCUUGCUCCUCUGAUGUUAGCGGCGGACGGGUGAGUAACACGUGGAUAACCUACCUAUAAGACUGGGAUAACUUCGGGAAACCGGAGCUAAUACCGGAUAACAUGAUGAACCGCAUGGUUCAACAGUGAAAGACGGUCUUGCUGUCACUUAUAGAUGGAUCCGCGCCGCAUUAGCUAGUUGGUAAGGUAACGGCUUACCAAGGCAACGAUGCGUAGCCGACCUGAGAGGGUGAUCGGCCACACUGGAACUGAGACACGGUCCAGACUCCUACAGGAGGCAGCAGUAGGGAAUCUUCCGCAAUGGGCGAAAGCCUGACGGAGCAACGCCGCGUGAGUGAAGAAGGUCUUCGGAUCGUAAAACUCUGUUAUUAGGGAAGAACAAAUGUGUAAGUAACUAUGCACGUCUUGACGGUACCUAAUCAGAAAGCCACGGCUAACUACGUG
RNAcentral lists this ribosomal RNA (497 nucleotides) under uncultured bacterium. RNAcentral describes it as "partial 16S ribosomal RNA". It matches the Rfam family "Bacterial small subunit ribosomal RNA", at positions 28 to 507 of the family's 1533-position model. The record is from RNAcentral.